RNAcentral lists this transfer RNA (76 nucleotides) under Alphaproteobacteria bacterium. RNAcentral describes it as "tRNA-Glu". It matches the Rfam family "tRNA". Rfam says of the family: Transfer RNA (tRNA) molecules are approximately 80 nucleotides in length. Their secondary structure includes four short double-helical elements and three loops (D, anti-codon, and T loops). The record is from RNAcentral. RNAcentral also lists the same sequence under 3 other names. Lineage: Bacteria; Pseudomonadati; Pseudomonadota; Alphaproteobacteria.
GUCCCCUUCGUCUAGUGGCCCAGGACGCCGGCCUCUCACGCCGGAAACAGGGGUUCGACUCCCCUAGGGGACGCCA